UUGCAACCUAUUAGUGGACCAUGAGAUCAGUUUCAUGAGUCCUGACCGUCAUUUUAUAAAUGAAAUGAGAAUGGAAUGAAAUGAAGUGGAGUGGAGUGGGAUGGAAUGAGAUGGAACUAGCAGGAAAUAAUAGAAUAUUCCAGAAUAGAAACUAUCAAAGUACAUCACAUGUAGUAAAGGAUUAGAAAGCAAAAGCAAUCUGAAGAUUGAAAGUCAGAAGCAAAGUUAGAAUGGUGAUUUUUUUCCCCCAACCCAACUUGGAAGAAUUUGUCUUUGGAGAACCAACCUAAUCAAAUAAAGUAGCAUCAAUUUACUGGAGACAUAAUCCAACUUGCAUAAUUGUCCUGGCUGGUUUACACCACAGCUGUUCAUAUGACAUGGUUCAUUAAAUAAUAAAGUCUUCAUCAGGCUCUCCUGC
Molecule: long non-coding RNA, 418 nt
Organism: Homo sapiens (human)
Lineage: Eukaryota; Metazoa; Chordata; Mammalia; Primates; Hominidae
Source: Ensembl